UAUCCUCCCUUUCUCUCUAUCUCGACAACCCCCCAACGGGAUUAUUUUCAUCCCGAUUUGCACUCCCUUCCCCUUCCCCCCCAAACACGGUUACCUCUUCUCCAUCCCUCUCUCGGCUCGAACAAUCCCGACGGAAGAUCAAACCCGUGCACCUCUCUCUCACGACGGCUGUCAACGGAGCUUGCGACGGCUUUGGACUCGUCACGGUUGCAUUUUCAGGUAUGAAAGCUUUCCUAUGUUUCUUCACAGUUUCGAUGCUGCAUUCCUUCUCGGUUUCUUGGUUUUAGAUUAGGGUUUCGAUGAUGCUGGUUUUAGAUAAGGGUUUCUUGGUUUUUUAUUCUGGUUUCGAUGAUUAUGGCUAUGCAUUUCUCGUGAUUUUCUGUUCUUGCUCGCUAGAUUCUGUUUCUAAUUUUCUGUUCUUGCUCGCGUGAAUCUCAUGUGCAUCUGGUUUCGAUGAUGCAUAUGGUUUCGAUUAUUGCCCCAAAACUAUGAGAUUGAAAACAAAUCUGUUGUUGUCUACAGGAGACGUUUAUCUUGUUCUGGGUCUUCAACUUUGUGUUUGACU
Molecule: long non-coding RNA, 565 nt
Organism: Juglans microcarpa x Juglans regia
Lineage: Eukaryota; Viridiplantae; Streptophyta; Magnoliopsida; Fagales; Juglandaceae
Exons: 2
Source: RefSeq, a predicted model, not a curated record